UGGGGAAUAUUGGACAAUGGGGGGAACCCUGAUCCAGCCAUGCCGCGUGUGUGAAGAAGGCCUUAUGGUUGUAAAGCACUUUAAGCGAGGAGGAGGCUCUCUUGGUUAAUACCCAAGAAGAGUGGACGUUACUCGCAGAAUAAGCACCGGCUAACUCUGUGCCAGCAGCCGCGGUAAUACAGAGGGUGCGAGCGUUAAUCGGAUUUACUGGGCGUAAAGCGUGCGUAGGCGGCUUUUUAAGUCGGAUGUGAAAUCCCCGAGCUUAACUUGGGAAUUGCAUUCGAUACUGGGAAGCUAGAGUAUGGGAGAGGAUGGUAGAAUUCCAGGUGUGACGGUGAAAUGCGUAGAAUUCUGGAGGAAUACCGAUGGCGAAGGCAGCCAUCUGGCCUAAUACUGACGCUGAGGUACGAAAGCAUGGGGAGCAAACAGG
RNAcentral lists this ribosomal RNA (430 nucleotides) under Bacillota bacterium. RNAcentral describes it as "Firmicutes bacterium partial 16S ribosomal RNA". It matches the Rfam family "Bacterial small subunit ribosomal RNA", at positions 355 to 776 of the family's 1533-position model. The record is from RNAcentral. Lineage: Bacteria; Bacillati; Bacillota.